This 412-nucleotide ribosomal RNA is filed under the name uncultured prokaryote. RNAcentral's name for it is "bacterial SSU rRNA". It matches the Rfam family "Bacterial small subunit ribosomal RNA", at positions 358 to 786 of the family's 1533-position model. The record is from RNAcentral.
GGAAUCUUGCGCAAUGGGCGAAAGCCUGACGCAGCGACGCCGCGUGGGGGAUGAAGGCCUUCGGGUUGUAAACCCCUUUCAGGAGGGAAGAAAUUGACAGUACCUCCAAAAGAAGGACCGGCCAACUACGUGCCAGCAGCCGCGGUAAUACGUAGGGUCCUAGCGUUAUCCGGAAUCAUUGGGCGUAAAGAGCUCGUAGGCGGUUCAGCAAGUCGGCUGUGAAAGUCCGAGGCUCAACCUCGGAAUUGCAGUCGAUACUGCUGUGACUCGAAUUCGGUAGAGGAGAAUGGAAUUCCACGUGUAGCGGUGAAAUGCACAGAUAUCAGGAGGAACACCUAUGGCGAAGGCAGCACUCUGGGCUGGUAUUGACGCUGAGGAGCGAAAGCAUGGGUAGCAAACAGGAUUAGAUACC